CAAAGAAUAAGCACCGGCUAACUUCGUGCCAGCAGCCGCGGUAAUACGAAGGGUGCAAGCGUUACUCGGAAUUACUGGGCGUAAAGCGUGCGUAGGUGGUCGUUUAAGUCCGUUGUGAAAGCCCUGGGCUCAACCUGGGAACUGCAGUGGAUACUGGGCGACUAGAGUGUGGUAGAGGGUAGCGGAAUUCCUGGUGUAGCAGUGAAAUGCGUAGAGAUCAGGAGGAACAUCCAUGGCGAAGGCAGCUACCUGGACCAAC
Molecule: ribosomal RNA, 259 nt
Filed under: Stenotrophomonas maltophilia
Lineage: Bacteria; Pseudomonadati; Pseudomonadota; Gammaproteobacteria; Lysobacterales; Lysobacteraceae
Description: partial 16S ribosomal RNA
Rfam family: Bacterial small subunit ribosomal RNA
Source: RNAcentral